ACCAGAGUUCAAUCCCCAGUACCAAAAAAAAAAAAAAAACUACCAUGAAGGAUAUGCACAGUUGGGAUACAUGGAUUUGAAAUUUGAAUGGGGUCAUUCCUAAUGACAGUGAAACAUGAACAAAGAUGUAAGUUAUGAAUAGACAGGGUAUCUGUGGUUCUAAAAAUGUUCACCUACAUUUAGUACAGCAUAAGACAUAGAGAGGAAGUGACAAAAUGUCACCCUACCCCAAAUCUCCUUCAUUAACAAUUUUCUAGUUCAAAGCUGACCAUGAAAAUAUUGUGAUCUAGAUAAGGUAUGGAAAUUUACAAAAACAAUUAAAAAUAUAGACUGAAGGAUUUAUUUCUAGAUUAAUAGAAUAUUUAGUCAUGUGCCAGAGAAUCAGAAUGAUAAUCAAUACCUGGAAUUGCUUCUUAUUUAGUGGGCAAAAGGAAACAAUUUUUUUCACAUUAAAUAAUAGAAGAUAGGGUCCCAGGGACAUUGCUGAGUAGGAAGAGAUGGAAGUUCUUGGAUGAGUCAGGAGGGUGCGUGCAAGUUGUAUUCCAGGGAAUACUAGAGGUAAGAGCUAGAACACCUAAAGUCAAUUUUCAAGUCAAAGGGUUAUCCCUGUAAAUCAAAUGACAAACUCCAAAGGCUCCUAAUAAUGAAAGCCAUUGGAAAACACAACAGUGGUGUGGGGUGACAUAGGGCAAAAAGCACAGGAAAAAGUAAAGGAAAAGAACUGAACAUAAUUUCCUAAAAUAAAGAUGCUAUUACACUUGCAAUAUGGUUACAUUUUGAUAAACCUAUAUACAGAGUUCACCAAAAAAUGUAUGAACACUUCAGGAAAAGAAAACCAGCAUGGGGCUACUGGCUCAGACCCCUCUUGCCCCUAGGAGCUUUCCUAACAAUAAACAUCUUCCUACAUUUGACCUCCGUCAUUCCUAGGACUCAUUCUUCAAUUUCUAGAGAAUAAGAACUCGGUGUAUCAUACAGUUAACAGGUUGGGAGAUAUAACAUUUCAUAUUUCAUAUUUCCCAUGACAUUAUUGGAGGUCCCACUGAGAUAAUAAUUGAUAGGAGGUAAGGAUUUACUUUUAUUGAUUGCUAAAUUAUAUUAAGUAACCAAAAUUGUCCUUCUUGUUUGUCACUGCUUGUGCCUCUUGUAAAUACUUUGUCCUUUGAGUUCUUAUACAUUGUCAUUUUGUUAAAAUGAUGAUGUUUCUUUAAAGGGAUAUUUUACUUUUGUAGACAAGGUUUUAUGUUUCUGUUUUAUAUUGAUUGCUUGAUUGACUUGUUAGACAAUGCUGAGGAAAAGUAAUGUUAGAUCAUCAUCUGAAGGCCUUUACCAAUAAUUGUUAGUAAAUUAGAAAAUGUAGUAAAAAUUGGUCUCUCUGUAAAAUCUAGUUUAUAGUUGAAAAAUAUAUGUGCUUAUUGAUAAAAUGCAGGACGCCAGCUGUGAAUUAAUAAGGCACUAGGCCGGCAGCCACUCUUAAGACUUGGGGGACAGGUUUCACUGAGCAGUCUGGCCCAAUCCUUCUGUAUACUCUAGAGAAAAUAUUGAGCCAGCUCUGCCUCAGUUUCCUUUCUGAUAUGAUCUUCCACUGGUGGGGAGGCAAUCUUAGCUCUUGAGAUUCCCCACUCUCGCCUUUCCAGGCUGAGAGUGACAACUCAGGGACAAGUUGUCUCAAUAACUGACCAAGAGCAUGAGAAGAAAAGACCUCCUUUCCUGGUCUCUGUCAGGUAAAAGGGCCGAAGACCAAGACCAGACCAGGCCACAACAAGCCUUUAUUAGGGGAAUAGAUCUGCCGGGCUGUCUCUGAACAAAGGAGAGACAAAAGCAACAUGGCCGGGGCAGGGAGAGUCUUUUAUAGAGACAGGGGUGGGGUUUGUAGGGGCUGAGGCAGGGUUGAGUGAGGUAGUGAUCAGGGAGUGGAGGAGCCGGUGAUGUCACUAGGUGGUAGGAGGUGAGCGAGUAUUAGGUUACUCUCUAGGUGGGACCAGGGGCAUGCUGGGAAGAAGGGUUUGUUCUUUGGUGGGAGCAACCAUCUUGGCACGACGUCACACAGGGGAGGGGGCAAGGCACCAUAGGAAGAGGGCAGCUACUAUACAUAAUGGCUGCUGAGGUAGUGGAAGACCUAUCAGUCGCAUUUCCAAUCUCUCCUGCCAAUCUUAUUCUCUCCCCUAAAAAGGCGUGUAAAGUGAGAAAGGACCUCUCAAGUACUCAAUGUCUUUCUCCUAAGAACCUUUAAGUUAAGUCCUUAGAAAAUAAGUGUUCUUGCCAAUGCCAAAGAUAGGGAAGUUAUUUUAGAUCAG
This 2294-nucleotide long non-coding RNA is filed under the name Heterocephalus glaber (naked mole-rat). Its description in RNAcentral is "lncRNA (ENSHGLG00100050405.1)". Lineage: Eukaryota; Metazoa; Chordata; Mammalia; Rodentia; Bathyergidae. The record is from RNAcentral.